Molecule: transfer RNA, 71 nt
Filed under: Loxodonta africana (African savanna elephant)
Lineage: Eukaryota; Metazoa; Chordata; Mammalia; Proboscidea; Elephantidae
Rfam family: tRNA
About the family: Transfer RNA (tRNA) molecules are approximately 80 nucleotides in length. Their secondary structure includes four short double-helical elements and three loops (D, anti-codon, and T loops).
Source: Rfam by way of RNAcentral
GCAUUGGUAGUUCAGUGGUAGAAUUCUCAUCUUCCGUGGGGGAGACCUGGGUUCAAUUCCCAGCCAAUGUA